AUACGAAGGGUGCAAGCGUUAAUCGGAAUUACUGGGCGUAAAGCGCGCGUAGGCGGCCAGGUAAGUCGGAUGUGAAAGCCCCGGGCUCAACCUGGGAAUUGCAUUCGAAACUGCCUGGCUAGAGUAUGGUAGAGGGAAGCGGAAUUCCACAUGUAGCGGUGAAAUGCGUAGAUAUGUGGAGGAACACCAGUGGCGAAGGCGGCUUCCUGGACCAAUACUGACGCUGAGGUGCGAAAGCGUGGGGAACAAACAGGAUUAGAAACCCUAGUAGUCC
This 274-nucleotide ribosomal RNA is filed under the name uncultured bacterium. Its description in RNAcentral is "partial 16S ribosomal RNA". It matches the Rfam family "Bacterial small subunit ribosomal RNA", at positions 523 to 796 of the family's 1533-position model. The record is from RNAcentral.